This 2316-nucleotide long non-coding RNA is filed under the name Homo sapiens (human). RNAcentral describes it as "HSALNT0195304". Lineage: Eukaryota; Metazoa; Chordata; Mammalia; Primates; Hominidae. The record is from RNAcentral.
AAUUUUUUUAUUUUAGAGGAAGGGGAAUGAGGAAGGCGCACGCGCGCGCUCACACACACACACACACACACACACACACGCAGAAAGAGAGAAAAUGUUUGGAAUUGUGAAAGUGCCUUUCCUAGUAGUUGCUUUUACUGGCGCCCGGGCCUCAAUUCAUUUCAUCUCUGAACCAGAUACUAAAAAUCCUCCAGGCGAGUGGAGAGGACCGGCCUUCCUGGAUCGGGAACCUGCCCUCUGUCUUCCCUCGCAGCGCCCUUUCCUCCUUUCGCUUGGGAAAGGAAGAUUUCGAGCCCCAGGAAGGAGUUGGGAGUGAGCGACAGCCCAGAGCGUCCCAUAAGGUCCUUUUGGCCAUGUUUCUGCCCCGGGGGGCUUCACCUAGAUCCCCCACCCCACCCCUUACCCCUGUUGCAAAUACGUAAGCUGGACGCGCCUCGGUGCGGAUCCAGGCCUCGCUGAGCACGGAACCGGAGAAGCAGCUCACGGCCUCGGAUUCUACUCUCACCCAAGGGUGGAAGGGGGUGACAGGGCUCGGAUCUUGCCCCAAACGCUGCACAGGCCCGCAGGAGAGCAAAGAGGUCUCGGACAGGCUGUCCUUCCCCAGCUCUCGGUCGCGACAAGGUCCCGACAGGCCCGGGAACCGGCGAACCGCCUGCAGGUUGUCUUCUGCUCCUGAUCUGGUUGGCUGGAGACACUUAGAAGCUAUGGCCUUUCACCUACAGGGUCUCUCUUUGUUGCCUAGGCUGGAGUGCAGUGGAACGAACUUGGCUUAUUGAAGCAUUGACCACCUGGACCCAAGUGAUUCUCCUACCUUAGCCUCUUGAAUAGCUGUGACAACAGGUGUGCACUACCACACCCAGAUAAAUUUUGUAAUUUUUAUAGAGAGGGCAUUUGACCAUGUUGCCCAGGCUGGUCUCAAACUCCUGAGCUCAAGUGAUACUCCUGCCUCGGCCUCCCAAAGUGCUGGGAUUACAGAUGAAGAAAAUGAGGCACUGAGAGAUUACAUAACUUCCCUUGAGUCAUAUUUGCUUGUAAGUGGUAAGGCUGGAUGUUGAACCCAGGACAAAGGGUCUCACUCUGUCGCCCAGUCUGGAGUGCAAUGGUGUGAUCACGGUCACUGCAACCUCUGCCUCCCGGGUUCAAGCGAUUCUCCUGCCUCAGCCUCCCAAGUAGCUGGGAUUACAGCGGCUUGCAGUAAACUUCUUGGAGGAGAAUUGGCAUUGCAAGGGUGUUACUGGAGACCUCGGCAAGAAAGUGAAUGCAAAGACAGAUGACCCAGGAACCCGUGAUGGAUAAGGCUCUUGACAGCCAGGACGUGGAAUUACAGGGGGUCUCUUUGAGAGACAAAAUAAAAAAAAUAGCCCAGUAAUCUUCCUUCCACCCUUUUCUCCCAGAUCUAAUUACAGAUGUCUUGACAUUCCUUCUGCAUAGAAUUUCCUUAAAAGAUUUGCCAAGAAGAAACAUUUGGAAACUGUGUUUUAGGUAUAAUCCGUCUGGGAGUCACUCUUGCUCGCUUUGUCGUUAGAUGACAAAACGCUUAAUUACAGCGAGCACAAUGUAUACCACAUUUGGAAAACUGGAUUCUUGACCUAAAUAAUGUACCCCAUACUGACAAUGGCCUUUUGGCAAAACUUGUGUCUCUGAUCUCACAUUAAUUACUACACAAAUAUACUUAUUGUGGGCACCGAGUUUAUGGGAUGGAGUCCUCUUGACACAUGUUCACCAUAAAAACACAUUUUUUUCCCUUCCCCUGACCCUAAGGAAAAGAAAAAAAAAAAGAUUAACAUUUUUCAAGAUGCUGUUUUAGUGACAUGAAAACUGUCUGUUGAGUGUUCACUCGGCUUUUGUUCUUUUUCUUUUCUCCUUUUAUUAAAAAGCCUUUCAAACCAAGCAUUCCUGGUUUGUGAUUCUUUACUUUUGCUUUUAUGCUGAGGGAGAGACAGAUUAGAUUAGAUUAAAGACCAAGGGACACCUCGUGAAAUACAUUCCAUCUAGAGGCAAUUUGGUUGAGAGGGCCAAUUGUGUGUGUGUGUGCCUGUGUGCGUGCAGGCGUGCGUGUUUCUCCUUGUGGCAUACUGGUGGUCUUUUUACAGAUACAGAGUUCUGGUUUUUGGAAAUGCGUUUAUUCCUUUAGCCUUUUUCCCUUCAGAAGCCUGCAGCCUUUGAUUGUGGCCUGACUUUUAGGGGUCUGCGGCAUUUUGGGGGGUAGUAAAUCUUAUUAACUCUUCCCUUUAGUGUCUCGCCAUUCUCAAAAACUUUUACAAAAAGCAGCAACACCGCCCUCACCAAAGACAGAUGAAAGGAGCGGUUUCAAAG